AAAAUCCAAACUCGGACUGAACCCGGCGGAUUUUAAAAUUCAUACUCAUAUUCAAAUUCGACUAAAAAUUUAAAAUUCGAAUCUGAAAUAAUAACUUAUCUUUAUCAUAUUUCAAAAUAUAUUAUAGUAAAAUCAAAAUUUCUAAAAUAAAAUUUUCAAAAUACAAUCAAAUACAAUAUUAAAAUAUUCAUGUCAUACAAUAUCAAUAUCAAGAUCACAAAUUCCAAUAGUUAAAGACAACAAUACAUUCUUUAAAUAUCUAAUACAAUCUUUAGAUAUCAAAAUGUUAUACAAUUUAUUCGAGUUCGGAUUUGGGUUCAGGUCGGGUAAAUACAAAAUUCAUAUCCGUAUUAAUAUCCGUCGGGUUUUUUUUACUGUACUUAUAGCCGAAUCUAUAUCUAUUUAGCUCAAGUAAACUUGUCCUGUUUGAAUUCGGGUUCGAAUAAUAUUUCAGAUAUUCAUACCCAUUGACAUCCCUAUCCAGGAAUGCAAAUGGGGCGGAUCCAGGCGGGAGGGGUCCGCACCUGCCCGCUCUAUUUCUUAUCGGAUCGGGGCGAAUUCGAGGCGAGUUAAUUUCAAAAUUAGAAUUUUCAAAAAUAUACCGAAUAAUAAAUAUAUUUUUAUAAGGGUUAAUUUCAUACAGGUCCCUACAAACACAGUGAAUGGCAAAUAUAUCCUCACAAAAUUCAACUUUUAUACAUUGUUUCUGCAAAAGUUCUAAUAUUUUCAAAUAUAUCCCUCUAGUUUCCUCUAAAAGGUAUAAAACAGUAUAAUAUAAGAGGGGUAAAAAUGUCAAAAACUAACUAGGGUUAAAUAUUUAACCUAUAGUUAACUAAAUUUUUCUAACGGAUUCUAACGGCAGGAACAACAUAUGAAGUUGAACUUUGUAGGGAUAUAUUUGUCAGUCACUAUGUCUGCAGGGAUCUAUAUGAAAUUAACCAUUUUUUUUUAUAAAGUUCAAGUUUUCAAAUUUAUUCUUUAAUAUGUUCUGAUUGUUUCAAAUGUACCUCUAUUGUUAGUGUCCGUUAGAAAAAUAUAGUUAAUCGUAUGUAAAAUGCAUAACCUUAGUUGGUAAGUGAGAUAAAUUAACCUUUUUAUCCCUUUGAUAUUAUACUUUCUUCUCUCAAUCAAAAUCGCAGUAAUGUGAAUUCUUCUCCUUCUUCUUCUUUCUUUUCCUCUUCCUCUCUCUCUCUCUCUCUCUCAUGCUAGUUUUGAAUCCGUAACUAGGAUUUCUUAGUCCCCAUUCAUCUACGACGCUUGUUGCUUCGCCCCAUGUCGAGCAUCGAAAAAUCGGUAUUAGAUAGGUAAAGAAGAAAAGGAGUGGGAGAAGAGACAGAGCAAAGGAUACAAUAAUGGUGGAUUAAAUUAGUUUCAAUAGAGAAAGAAGAUGACCAUUAAAAAUUUUUUGAGCGGACAUUUUUUCAUGAUUCUAACAGUUGAGACUUUUGGAGGGAUAUAU
This 1459-nucleotide long non-coding RNA is filed under the name Ananas comosus (pineapple). Its description in RNAcentral is "long non-coding RNA (ACOM_LNC035527)". The record is from RNAcentral. Lineage: Eukaryota; Viridiplantae; Streptophyta; Magnoliopsida; Poales; Bromeliaceae.